CUUUGAACCCGAGAGAGCUACCUUCUUCCCCCGCUGAGAGAGACUCAUAUAUCCCGUGAGAACCCUCCAGCUUGCACGGGAAUAGGCGCGGACGGCUGGGAUUUGGAAGGGGAAGCGAGAGAUUCGCAUGCGGUGGAGACACGUCGGCUGGAUGAGGCUGUGGAUGCGGGAGAAUCGGACGCGGAAACGAACGGGAAGAGCAUCCUUAGCCAGCCGCAAGAUCCCGGACGCGGAUCACCUGGACGCGGAAUGACUGAGAGAGGCUGGAUUGCACGCGGACGCUGGGAGCUGAUGUGGCUGGAACUCGGAUGAUUGCGAAUCCGGGAGGCUGCAGUGGCCUGGAGGAUCCGAUCGUGG
Molecule: long non-coding RNA, 357 nt
Filed under: Phoenix dactylifera (date palm)
Lineage: Eukaryota; Viridiplantae; Streptophyta; Magnoliopsida; Arecales; Arecaceae
Description: long non-coding RNA (PDAC_LNC007375)
Source: RNAcentral